This 492-nucleotide ribosomal RNA is filed under the name Triticum aestivum (bread wheat). RNAcentral's name for it is "partial small subunit ribosomal RNA". Lineage: Eukaryota; Viridiplantae; Streptophyta; Magnoliopsida; Poales; Poaceae. The record is from RNAcentral.
AUGAAACUUGUGUGUCAAUUGUGGUUUCCCUCCUCCUCUAUUUAUAUAUGGAGAGGGGAGGGUGGGGUGGAAGGAGGCAUCCCAACAAGGGGGUACCCCCACCAACUAUGUCCCACAAAAAGGGGAGGGGAUGUCCCCAAAGGGGGGACUACCAAACAUUGCCCCACAAAAAGGUGGGUCGCCCCAAGUGCACCCCCUCUAGCCGCACCACAUGGAUGGGGCUUCCCUCAAAGGGAGGGGGCUUCCCAACACUUUCCACACAAAAGGGAGGGCUGUCCCCCAAAGCAUGUGCCCCUCCAACACAUCUCAGAAAUUGGGAAGGUUGUCCCCCAAUGGGGAAAUCCCCUCCCAACACUUGGUCCUUUGUGUGCGUUACCCCUUGGUGCCUCACAAAAAAUUCCUAGAGGCCCCGAAACCAUUCCAGAACCCUCCAAGAAAUUCUGGACGCACUUCGAAACUUUUCCUAGUACUCAGCAGAUUGAUGGCCCUUAA